GCACCUCUCUGGAUCCUCGAAUUGAAAGAGAGAUUGAGAGGGAUCAAGAAUCCUAAUUCUCGCUAUUUGGAAUGGAUCCUUUGCUCCAUUCCUUUGAACCAAAUUCAUGAAUAG
This 114-nucleotide ribosomal RNA is filed under the name Triticum aestivum (bread wheat). RNAcentral describes it as "partial small subunit ribosomal RNA". Lineage: Eukaryota; Viridiplantae; Streptophyta; Magnoliopsida; Poales; Poaceae. The record is from RNAcentral.